RNAcentral lists this ribosomal RNA (494 nucleotides) under uncultured bacterium. RNAcentral's name for it is "partial 16S ribosomal RNA". It matches the Rfam family "Bacterial small subunit ribosomal RNA", at positions 28 to 507 of the family's 1533-position model. The record is from RNAcentral.
GACGAACGCUGGCGGCGUGCUUAACACAUGCAAGUCGAACGGAAAGGCCUGCUUUCCCUUGUGGAUUGCGGGUACUCGAGUGGCGAACGGGUGAGUAACACGUGAGUGAUCUGCCCCCAACUUGGGUAUAAGCCUGGGAAACUGGGUCUAAUUCCCGAUAGGACUGCAGGGUGGUGCCUGUGGUGGAAAACGAUUUUCUAGUUGUUGGGGAUGAGCUCGCGGCCUAUCAGCUUGUUGGUGGGGUAAUGGCCUACCAAGGCGGCGACGGGUAGCCGGCCUGAGGGGGUGGACGGCCACAUUGGGACUGAGAUACGGCCCAGACUCCUACGGGAGGCAGCAGUGGGGAAUAUUGCACAAUGGGCGGAAGCCUGAUGCAGCGACGCCGCGUGGGGGAUGACGGCCUUCGGGUUGUAAACUCCUUUCGACCGCGAGGAAGCCACCUGGUUGGAAGGGUGGUGACGGUAGUGGUAGAAGAAGCACCGGCUAACUACGUG